Non-coding RNA from Penaeus vannamei (Pacific white shrimp), 310 nucleotides. Lineage: Eukaryota; Metazoa; Arthropoda; Malacostraca; Decapoda; Penaeidae. The record is from RefSeq and is a predicted model, not a curated record.
AGAAAAUGUGCAAACAGACGAAAACAAGAGGAAGUUUGAGCGGGAGAAGGAAACCCGCGCCGCCCCUGCGAUUGCACCACUAUUACCGUUCCCGCUUGCAAUUACAGGAAGACUGAGGCCAUUCGGUGUUGGUUGUUCAUUCGGAACUCGUGUUAGUCGUGGUCAUUAAGUCGGUGACAUGGUGAGACGGAGAGCUACUGUUCAAGACACUGUUCAAAAUGCAGAAGAAAUUGAAGCCACGCCAAGGAGGACAAGAAAACGAGCCAACAAAGAAGCCAUUGAAGAGGUGACUGUGAAGAAACAAGCCCAG